UGAUCCAGAGUACCACGGGACACGUGAAACCCUGUGGGAAGCAGGAGGGACCACCCUCCAAGGCUAAAUACUACCUAGUGACCGAUAGCGUAUAGUACCGUGAGGGAAAGGUGAAAAGAACCCCGGGAGGGGAGUGAAAUAGAACCUGAAACCCUGCACUUACAAGCUGUGGAAGCACAUUUCUUGUGUGACCGCGUACUUUUUGUAGAACGGGCCAACGAGUUACGUUAAGUAGCAAGGUUAAGCACUUAAGGUGCGGAGCCGUAGCGAAAGCGAGUUUUAACUGAGCGUUCAGUUACUUGACGUAGACCCGAAACCGGGCGACCUACCCAUGAGCAGGAUGAAGCGAAAGUAAAAUUUCGUGGAGGUCCGAACCCACGAGCGUUGAAAAGCUCGGGGAUGACUUGUGGGUAGCGGUGAAAUUCCAAUCGAGCCCGGAGAUAGCUGGUUCUCCCCGAAAUAGCUUUAGGGCUAGCCUCAAGGUGAGAGAUACGGAGGUAGAGCACUGAAUGUCCUAGGGGGUAUUGCACCUACCGAAGACUAUCAAACUCCGAAUGCCGUCAUCUUAUACUUGGGAGUCAGACUGUGGGUGAUAAGAUUCAUAGUCGAAAGGGCAACAGCCCAGAUCGUCAGCUAAGGUCCCUAAAUGUAAGUUAAGUGGUAAAGGAUGUGGGAUUGCACAGACAACCAGGAUGUUGGCUUAGAAGCAGCCACUCAUUCAAAGAGUGCGUA
This 732-nucleotide ribosomal RNA is filed under the name Clostridioides difficile. RNAcentral describes it as "partial 23S ribosomal RNA". It matches the Rfam family "Bacterial large subunit ribosomal RNA", at positions 403 to 1136 of the family's 2925-position model. The record is from RNAcentral. Lineage: Bacteria; Bacillati; Bacillota; Clostridia; Peptostreptococcales; Peptostreptococcaceae.